RNAcentral lists this long non-coding RNA (981 nucleotides) under Marmota monax (woodchuck). The record is from RNAcentral. Lineage: Eukaryota; Metazoa; Chordata; Mammalia; Rodentia; Sciuridae.
AUUUAAGGUUAAAAUCCUUCUCCCCAUAUUAAUAAUUUAUGUAACCACUCUGAUGAUUACCUGAAAAAUGUAUGUGUGUGCAUGUGCAUGCACAAAUUCAUAUUUUAUCUUAUGUAAAAAAUACUUUCCCCAAAUCUCACCAAAGUAUCAUAGCCAAACAGCAGCUAAUCCCUUAUACAUCUCAGGGACUUUUUUUCUCUAAGAGUUCACUGUUAGGAGUCAUAUCAAAUUGAAAUAUGUUCGUAAGACAUUUACAUAAUAUCCUUAAGAUUCUUUCUUCUGACACCUCCUACCCUCCUCCUGUCCUCCUUCUUCAUCUUCCAUCAGGUCAGUUAGAAGAUUAUUUUGAUUUUGGUCCUUGUUAUGAUGAAAUGAUAAGUGUGUCAAAUUUUUCACUGUGUAAACUAGCAAUAUGAACACACAUGCCAAUGUAUCCUAACAGAUCUACUUGGUUACAUCUCAGGGUUACUCUACUUAAUCUUGAUUCAUGUAUGGAGAAAUGGCUGGAUAACAUAAUGCCUGCUUGUUAUAUAAGAAAGUUAUGUCCAUUACUCUGAGCUCCUUACUUUAAAGUUUUUCCUCCUGGCUUCUCUGUAUUCUCUUUUUAUCCUGAAAUGCAUUUUUUUAGGUUGUGAGGUAUGUUUAAGGAGUGGAAGCCAGUGGUAUAUUCUUGGCAUUUGCUACUUCCAAAAGUCAACAGCAUCUCAAUUAACGAGCAUCUCUGGUCUUUCGUGAAAUUUGAACUAAAUCUAUGAGCCUUAUUCAAUAUCUACAAUUCUAUGAUAUUUUUUAAUUAUGGGAAAUUGAUGGAAGAUGUUUACAUGAAGUUUUGGAGUGUGUCUGGGUACAUGGGCAAAGAGUAGGAAAACUGUUUCUGAAACAAACCUUGACAUAUUUGUAAUGAAAAGUAAAUUUAAAGAUUGCUAUGAUUGUGAUAUAGAAACAAUGCAAGUAUUAAACAAAAUACACAACCAAAAAAAG